AUUUAAACAUGUGUAUCUGAUUUAUUUCACUUAACAUUGUGGCCUCAAGGUGCCUUCAUUAAUAAAAAGAAGGUGAUCAAAAGAUGGCUGGUGUGGGGAGGGAAGGGAUAAGGGAAAAAGAAGGCAUUAUUUUAAAGUGUUAUGUACAUGGACCAGUUCCUCACAAUGGAAGUGAACAUUGCAUACUACAAACAUGGACUAGAAAGAAAAACAGAAGUCCUUCACCCCCUAAAGCUUAUUAAUGUCUCCAUUUGGAGGAGAUAGAUAAAAACAAAAGUAAGUAACAGAAAUACUUAGUAUACGAGAUUAGUGGUGAGUGUUACGGAGAAAACAGCAGGAGAAGGGGUAGGGAGUGGAUGAGUGGACACGGAAGGCAUCCUGAAGAGGCCAAGGGUGGGGAGCAACCAGGGGAGGAGCACGUGGGCAGGGAGGAACGGCAGGUGUGAAGGCCCGUGGUGGGAGUGACCUCACAAUCGCAGAGCAAUGACCGGGUUCCCUGAAGCUGGCACAGUGGACAGGGGGACAGAAGUGGGAGACCAGAGAGCAUCGGUGUAGCAUUCUUGUAGAUCCAUGUUUAAGGACUCUGGCUUUCAUUUUGUCAAAAUGGGAGCUACUGGUAGGUUUUGAGCGAAGAAGGGACGUGAUUUGAUUUAUUUUCUACUGGGGUUAAUCUGGUUGUUAUAUGGGAAAUAUGAGUCUCCAAAGAGCGUGCAAGAGCGGAAUGGGGAAACCACUUGCAGGGUUGCUGGAGCAAUUGGACAAGUGGCAAUGCCUGGUGGAGCGAGGGGUGGAGACGGAGGUGCGGUGGUCGGGUUGGAGGUGAAGAUCUGGUGGACAGCAGGGGAGGUGAGAUACGGAAGCCAGAGAGCGAGUCAGGGUCAGAUUGGCUCUUACAGCAGCAACUGCCAUGCUGAGGGCUCCCUGAGGACCCUGCACUGAGCUCUGGCUCUUAAAGACUGAGGACCAAGCUCCAGCACACACACCCUUGACGGACACAUUUCAGCCACAUCCAAACCAGCACCCAGGCUUGCUCUGCAGCCCCACCAGGUCAGUGGCCGGCCCUGCCUUCUCCAGGCGUCUGGCCUCGUCUUGUGCCUGAUCCUGACUUCCUUCCUGCUCCGGGCAAAUGUCUUCGUCUGGCUUCUUCCUCCUGCUCCAGGCCCAGCACCCAGGCAUCCGUGAAGCUCGCACUCUGCAGUUCUCGCUACCCAUCCUGCAGGAGCUCACACGCUUGUAGGAAGCUGACUGGAGAGAUGCAGGCCAUUAGAGGUGUGCACCUGGGAAUCGGAGAGCGGGUUAUCUGCGCCUGCAGCAUUCUGAGAGGCCACCUUUGUCGCUGUGUCUGUCCCUCGCCCCACAGUGGGGACACUGGCCAGAGACCCAAAUCCUGAAUGCUCGGCCACGCAUCUCCAGAUGGCCUGAUGCCCCUGCUGAGGUAAAAACGUGGGAUUUUUAGUUACCGCCUUGCCUGUGAUUUUACAACCAGUGAUGCUGUAAGGGAGAGACCCAUUUCCAGGGGAGCCGUGGAGCCCUCACUUGGUGGGUGAGGACUCACAGCCGCAUUUAAUUUAUGCCUCUUCUGUAGUUCACAACGCGUUUCUCACAGAUGCAGCGUCAGAUGUAGGGUAAUAGAAAAAUAUGCUCCUGCAUUGAAGGUGCCAAAGAGAUCUUUUGGCUACUAAGUUCUUCCCUGAAUGGAAUUGGAAUAUGAAGGAAAUAAGCUCCUUUCCUCUCCUCUUCUGAUUUUACCAAAAAGAGCUACAACUGGGAGUUCUAAGCGGCCCAGGUAGACAUAGACAGUUGGAACACCCUGGCCUUGACGCCUCAGCUGGUUUGAGGCCCUCUGUGACUAACAGCCCCACAUUUGUGACUGAUUAAGGUUUCAGGGCCGGGAUUUAGCUCAGCGGUUCUGCCACCUGCCUCAUAAGCACAAGGUCCAAGUUUGAGCCCUGGUACCAAAAGAAAAUUGGGCCGGGGAUUUAGCUCAGUGGUUCCACAGCCUGCUUCGUAAGGUUAAGGUCCUGAGUUCGAUCCCCGGCACCAAAAAAAAUAAUAAUAAUAAAAAACUAAAAUUUUGUCUUGCCCUGUUUGGAAGCCUAGAGCCACCAUCAUGGGGAGUUAGGAAGCAGUCAGUGCCACUCUUAUUUUCUCCAGAAGCAACAAGGAUCAUCUUUUCGUUUUCUGGGAAUCCAGUGGCAGCCUGUGACAGGAUUCAGAAGCUUCACACUAGAUUAGAAACCUCUUUUCACAGGGAGAGGAGCCAGUGUUGCAAUGCUUACAUAUAUACUUAAAGAGAAGAACAUAGUAGGAAAACAGUCUUUAAAACAAAAUGUAAUUUUAUAGCUGUUUGAGUUUGCUGUUUGCCUUAUGUGAAGGGGUAGAGUAGCCCAUCAGCAGCGUGGAAUUUUAGAUGAGCACAUAAUAUCAUAACUUGGGCAAACCAUUCAACACUGACGCAGAAGGAGGUGGCCAGAGGGAUUUAUGUGAUGCCAAGCGUAACGGUCUGAGUGGCAGGAAGAGCUCUGCAAAAGGGGGACAGGAGCUCAGGCCUGGGCUGUGACUGAGGGAAUGUCCCCAUCUAUUCCGUGGGGACCACGUCUGCUUCACGGUGCUUGGGCUGAGCUUGUUUGGGAGAGCCCAAGGUGGGGUGUUAAUUGAAAAGUAGUAACAUCACAAAAGUUUAUGAGAAAAUUAUUUCAGUUGCCAAACUCAUGAAGAUCCAAUGCAUCUGAGACGCUCAGCUUUCCCUGUAGGGAACCGUUAAGACAAUAUUUGAUAAGAUUCCUUGAGAGUUUAGUUAAGGAGCAAAUCUGCAGUAUUUAAAUUCUGCCAUACACAGGGAGGGUACGAUGACAGUUUG
This 2860-nucleotide long non-coding RNA is filed under the name Fukomys damarensis (Damara mole-rat). Its description in RNAcentral is "lncRNA (ENSFDAG00000031709.1)". Lineage: Eukaryota; Metazoa; Chordata; Mammalia; Rodentia; Bathyergidae. The record is from RNAcentral.